Chlorocebus sabaeus (green monkey) is the source of this 442-nucleotide non-coding RNA. The record is from RefSeq and is a predicted model, not a curated record. Lineage: Eukaryota; Metazoa; Chordata; Mammalia; Primates; Cercopithecidae.
GCAGCUUCGCAGUCACUUCCCGCUAGGUCUGUGGGCUGAGGGGCGUGGCCUGAGGGGCGAGAGCCCCCAAGGCUGUGGGUACAAGGCCGGGCCCCUGCACCGGAAGGGAGGCCGGAAGCCACGGACGUGGAGCGGAGGGUGAGGAUAGUGGGGAGCUGGCCGCAGAGGAUGACCCGAGGAAAAAGUGCGAGUGAGGAAAAGUCGCCCUGCUGGGCAGAGGAAAUUACUCCAGGAUUUGAAUCAUCACAAGAGAUUAACCAGAGGAUUUUAUACACUUGGGCUGUGGCAGCAGACUAAUUACACCACAGCACUAGUUCUAGAGGCUAGAAGUCCAAGAUCAAGAUGUUAGCAUGGUUGGUUUCUCCUAAGGACCAUGAAGGAAGGAUCUGUUCCAGGCCUCUGUCUUUGACUUGUAGAUAAAUGUCUUCUUCCUGUGUCUUCA